GAGUUUGAUCCUGGCUCAGGAUGAACGCUAGCGGCAGGCCUAAUACAUGCAAGUUGAACGAGAUAAGUUGUAGCAAUACGGCUUUGAAAGUGGCGCACGGGUGCGUAACACGUAUGCAACCUACCUUUUACAGGGGGAUAGCCUCUCGAAAGAGAGAUUAAUACCCCAUAAUAUAUUUGUUGGGCAUCUAAUGAAUAUUAAAGCUGAGGCGGUAAAAGAUGGGCAUGCGGCUGAUUAGGUAGUUGGUGAGGUAAUGGCUCACCAAGCCGACGAUCAGUAGGGGGUCUGAGAGGAUGUCCCCCCACACUGGUACUGAGACACGGACCAGACUCCUACGGGAGCAGCAGUAGGGAAUAUUGCACAAUGGGCGCAAGCCUGAUGCAGCGACGCCGCGUGAGGGAUGACGGCC
RNAcentral lists this ribosomal RNA (409 nucleotides) under uncultured Sphingobacterium sp. RNAcentral describes it as "bacterial SSU rRNA". It matches the Rfam family "Bacterial small subunit ribosomal RNA", at positions 9 to 416 of the family's 1533-position model. The record is from RNAcentral. Lineage: Bacteria; Pseudomonadati; Bacteroidota; Sphingobacteriia; Sphingobacteriales; Sphingobacteriaceae.